UGGAGGUCUAUGAUGGCUGGGAGCUGGGUACCCGUGAUGUGCUGGAGGUCUAUGAUGGCUGGGAGCUGGGUACCCGUGAUGUGCUGGAGGUCUAUGAUGGCUGGGAGCUGGGUACCCGUGAUGUGCUGGAGGUCUAUGAUGGCUGGGAGCUGGGUACCCGUGAUGUGCUGGAGAUCUAUGAUGGCUGGGAGCUGGGUACCCGUGAUGUGCUGGAGGUCUAUGAUGGCUGGGAGCUGGGUACCCGUGAUGUGCUGGAGGUCUAUGAUGGCUGGGAGCUGGGUACCCGUGAUGUGCUGGAGGUCUAUGAUGGC
Molecule: long non-coding RNA, 311 nt
Organism: Esox lucius (northern pike)
Lineage: Eukaryota; Metazoa; Chordata; Actinopteri; Esociformes; Esocidae
Source: Ensembl